UACGUAGGCAGCGAGCGUUGUUCGGAGUUACUGGGCGUAAAGAGUGCGUAGGCGGUUUUCUAAGUUUGGUGUGAAAUCUCCCGGCUUAACUGGGAGGGUGCGCCGAAGACUGGAAGGCUUGAGUAUGGGAGAGGUAAGCGGAAUUCCUGGUGUAGCGGUGAAAUGCGUAGAUAUCAGGAGGAAUACCGAUGGCGAAGGCAGGUCUCUGGGCUGACACUGACGCUCAUGCACGAAAGCGUGGGGAGCAAACAGG
Molecule: ribosomal RNA, 253 nt
Filed under: uncultured bacterium
Lineage: Bacteria
Description: partial 16S ribosomal RNA
Rfam family: Bacterial small subunit ribosomal RNA
Source: RNAcentral